GCUACUAUGGCUCAGCUGGUAGAGCAGCUGAUUCGUAAUCAGCAGGUCGCCAGUUCGAAUCUGGCUAGUAGCUCCA
Molecule: transfer RNA, 76 nt
Filed under: Clostridia bacterium
Lineage: Bacteria; Bacillati; Bacillota; Clostridia
Description: tRNA-Thr
Rfam family: tRNA
About the family: Transfer RNA (tRNA) molecules are approximately 80 nucleotides in length.
Source: RNAcentral